This 465-nucleotide ribosomal RNA is filed under the name uncultured bacterium. Its description in RNAcentral is "partial 16S ribosomal RNA". It matches the Rfam family "Bacterial small subunit ribosomal RNA", at positions 28 to 507 of the family's 1533-position model. The record is from RNAcentral.
GAUGAACGCUGGCGGCGUGCUUAACACAUGCAAGUCGAACGGAAAGGCUCCUGCUUGCCGGGGUACUCGAGUGGCGAACGGGUGAGUAACACGUGGGUGAUCUGCCCUGCACUUCGGGAUAAGCCUGGGAAACUGGGUCUAAUACCGGAUAGGACCUCAUUUUGGAUGGUGUGGUGGAAAGUUUUUCGGUGUGGGAUGAGCUCGCGGCCUAUCAGCUUGUUGGUGGGGUAAUGGCCUACCAAGGCGUCGACGGGUCGCCGGCCUGAGAGGGUGUACGGCCACAUUGGGACUGAGAUACGGCCCAGACUCCUACGGGAGGCAGCAGUGGGGAAUAUUGCACAAUGGGCGCAAGCCUGAUGCAGCGACGCCGCGUGGGGGAUGACGGCCUUCGGGUUGUAAACUCCUUUCGCUAGGGACGAAGCGCAAGUGACGGUACCUGGAGAAGAAGCACCGGCUAACUACGUG